RNAcentral lists this long non-coding RNA (438 nucleotides) under Bos taurus (domestic cattle). Its description in RNAcentral is "long non-coding RNA NONBTAT019023". The record is from RNAcentral. Lineage: Eukaryota; Metazoa; Chordata; Mammalia; Artiodactyla; Bovidae.
AUGGGUGUAGAAUAGUUUAUUUAGAAUAAUACAAGCAAUGGGUGAUGCAGUGCCUGCCUUUUAGUUUUGCUUACAGUCUCUUAAAUGCUAAUAGCCUUUUACGACCUCGCUCAGAAUUCUGAUCACUAUGCCCACUUAAAAAAACUGAAGCAUUUUGCUACAUAGCAACUAAAUCAAGGAUUACUGUUAUAUGGAAAUUUGCCAAGUGACAUUCAGAGAGUUUCCAUAGACGCUUGUGGGGUUUGACAAGCAAAAUAAUGUCAAUUUCCACUUAAAAAUAUUUUUCCAUAUUUAUAAACUAUAAUAAAAAGCAUUUGUAUUCAACAAUGUUUUAUACCAAAUUAUAGUAUAUUUAUAUGAGAGAAACCAAGUUUAGCUAGUGUUACUAGGUAAACAUUUUUUUUUUCCAUUCUGGUAAAUUUAAAACCUUUUAAAUAC